GACGUAGGGCGCGAGCGUUGUCCGGAUUUAUUGGGCGUAAAGAGCUCGUAGGCGGCUUGUCGCGUCGAAUGUGAAAUCCCGCGGCUCAACUGCGGGUCUGCAGUCGAUACGGGCAGGCUAGAGUUCGGUAGGGGAGACUGGAAUUCCUGGUGUAGCGGUGAAAUGCGCAGAUAUCAGGAGGAACACCGAUGGCGAAGGCAGGUCUCUGGGCCGAUACUGACGCUGAGGAGCGAAAGCGUGGGGAGCGAACAGG
This 253-nucleotide ribosomal RNA is filed under the name uncultured bacterium. RNAcentral describes it as "partial 16S ribosomal RNA". It matches the Rfam family "Bacterial small subunit ribosomal RNA", at positions 524 to 776 of the family's 1533-position model. The record is from RNAcentral.